GAUUGAAGUUCAGAAAUCUCAGGACCACAAACGCAGAACGACACCGGAAACAGAAAAAGACAUUAAACAAAGAUCUAACUCGGUCUCCCCUGUGGAGAAAGCAAAGGAGACCCAGCAGAAAGAGAAGAAGCAGAGCAUCUAUCCAGCUGUGGCGGCCCUGCAGCUGUUCACUCUCUUCUGCUGUGGAGGGAAAGUCAAGCUGAAGAAAACUCGUCCCUCUCAGCACAGACAGAGUAAAAAGGACCAGGACGAAGAUAAUGCAUCUGAUACUGGCUCAGACUGGUCUGGAGGAGAUGUUACAACCAAAAAGGUCAAGGACAAGAGUAAUGGAAAGGUAGGAGG
Molecule: long non-coding RNA, 342 nt
Organism: Coregonus clupeaformis (lake whitefish)
Lineage: Eukaryota; Metazoa; Chordata; Actinopteri; Salmoniformes; Salmonidae
Exons: 3
Source: RefSeq, a predicted model, not a curated record